This 486-nucleotide long non-coding RNA is filed under the name Homo sapiens (human). Its description in RNAcentral is "HSALNT0342430". The record is from RNAcentral. Lineage: Eukaryota; Metazoa; Chordata; Mammalia; Primates; Hominidae.
GCAAAUAAAGCUUUUCAUGGUCCACUGACUGAGAACAAUCAAACCCUUCACAAUCUAGAACCUGGAGAUUCUGAGAACAUCAGAGAAAGACCGCCCUUGCCACUCAUACUUCAGCAAAACUUUGGCACCUUGGACCUUGGGUUCAUAAUCUCACAACUCAGAAGGACCCCUCCAGACUCUUAGAACUGUAUACCCCUUGGAGAUGGUUAUCAUAUCAUUUGUGACAUAUACAGACAAGCUAUGAGAGUGAAUGUAAUGUGUGAGUUACAAAAGCUAGUUGUAUUUUUAUGCACCAGAAAAAAGUAUCAGUUACACUGAAAAACUUCAAAGUCAAAGAGAAAUUCUUUAAAGAUCCAGAAAAAAAGAAUGAUCCAGAUUACCUUCAAAUGAGCAACAGUUUAAAUGAGGACUGACUUCUCAACAGCAACUAUGAAAACCAAUGUAACUAUAUCUUCAAUAAACUGAAAGAAACUAACUGCCAACUAA